Molecule: long non-coding RNA, 167 nt
Organism: Eucalyptus grandis
Lineage: Eukaryota; Viridiplantae; Streptophyta; Magnoliopsida; Myrtales; Myrtaceae
Exons: 3
Source: RefSeq, a predicted model, not a curated record
CCUGUUGAGUUUGUAUGAAGAAAGCUUCGAGCUUUAGGUUUCACCUGAUAGAAGAUUCUUGGUGAUUGCAGGGACUAUCAAUACAUCAUUUAGAGGUUCUGAGAUAAUGUGUGCCGUAGCCCCUGUAUCCGGAUACCAUUCUGAGCCAUAGGGUUCUUCAAUGUGAA